Molecule: non-coding RNA, 112 nt
Organism: Acanthosepion pharaonis
Lineage: Eukaryota; Metazoa; Mollusca; Cephalopoda; Sepiida; Sepiidae
Source: the annotation of a GenBank genome assembly
ACAGCAAUAUCAUGUUGGAACACCGGUUCUCAUACAAUCACCAAAGUUAAGCAAUGUUGAGCCUGGUUAGUACCUAGAUUGAUUACCACUUGGGAAUUCCAGGUGCUGUAAG